AAGAAAGACUAUACUAAACUAGGAACUAGACCGGGAACUGGCUCCAUAAAGUAACUACUACUAGAAGAAUAAUAAAUGCUAAACAAUACUCAGCGUUGAAUGGUGGCGUGAGACUGAUUUAUAUAGUGUGUGUUAUUGGUAGCAGCUGUGUGUAAUUGGUUUCAGGUGAACUUGUGAUUAAUGCAACAGAACAUGGGAAAUGUAGUCCAGGGUGACUGUCUGUGUAGUGUGAAAGUCCAUGUGGAGAGCGGGGGACCUAUGGUGAAUAAACACACUUUAAAUGUGCAACGCCCAUUUGUGAAUUCUUCACUGCACACUGGAAAGUGUUACACAUAUACGAGAUGAAUAAUCUGUUCAGAGUAAAUGGAUUCCUGGAGGAGAUGCAGCGGUCAGAGGUCUCCUAAAGAGCAUCAUCUAACCCAAAGCAAACAGCAAUAAAUACCAUCUUUAAUGUCAUUAACAAAUGAUUGUUAAACAUAAUAAAAAAGAAAAUGUUAUUUGUACAUUCACACAGUUGCAGCCAUUAAAUAAAAUACAAAAAAAUCUUGAAUAGUAAUGUUUGAUUACAGUCAGUGUGCGUCAUGUGUAUGUUCCUGUUUGUCCUUAUUUGGUCCUUCCUGUUCCUGUCCCAAUGUAGUUUGAUUGUCUCAUUAGUUCC
Long non-coding RNA from Cyprinus carpio (common carp), 658 nucleotides. RefSeq lists it as uncharacterized. The record is from RefSeq and is a predicted model, not a curated record. The transcript is spliced from 3 exons. NCBI's taxonomy places the organism in Eukaryota, Metazoa, Chordata, Actinopteri, Cypriniformes, Cyprinidae.